RNAcentral lists this long non-coding RNA (940 nucleotides) under Phasianus colchicus (ring-necked pheasant). RNAcentral describes it as "lncRNA (ENSPCLG00000010923.1)". The record is from RNAcentral. Lineage: Eukaryota; Metazoa; Chordata; Aves; Galliformes; Phasianidae.
CCUGCAUCCUUAUUCACGUGUCUAUCCUUUGGAGCACACUGACUAAAAGGAAAAUAGUGUAAACAUCUUCUUAAUACUGGGUACUAAAUACUGAAAAUUAGUUUUUGUUGCUCUUAGUUGGUGGCUUUAAAACAACUUUGGAAAUAAUCAUUAUCCUUCUGGCAGAUGGUCCAGGACAGAGAAAAUCAUGGUUUUGGCAAAAGCAUCUUUAUGUGUGGAGAAAUGUUUGGGCUGAGAUCAGCACCUGUGCAGACAGGAAAAUUUUCUCUUUUCCUCAAGUGAAGGAUUUUUGAUUUUCUGCAUUCCAGUACUUAAGAGUUUCUUGCUUGUAAAUGCACUGGGAAAUUAUAUCAGCAUCUUUUGAUGAAGGAAAAGACUGCAAAAGACCUUGAGGUCAGUGCAGCUUGAUGGAAGUGUUCACUAGAAUAUUUCUAAAGACCUACAGAGUUUGGGGAAAAUUUGAGUUAUUUGGAUGCUCUACUUGUCCAGGAAAAAGAGAGAGAAUGACAUACAGAGGGUGCCUGAGAGGUAGCUAUUAGUUUUUUGUUAUGACAACUGUAAAUGUAGAACAUGUUAUGACAUGUUGUGUGGCCAUUUUCCUUAGUUCUCUAAGAGUGUGGAAGGCCAAUGCAAGGUCUUCAGUCUUGCUGGCUUCCCAGUUCUGUCUUUGAUGUGCUCUGCCUUCAUUUGGAAGUGGAAAACUAAUAUGCAAAACAAGAAUAUGACUGUGUGUGUGCCUGUCUUUGUUCAAAUGAACACACAGGGUACUUGAUCCCUGUGGGUCCCUUCCAACUCAGGAUAUUCUGUGAUUCUAUUGCAGAAAGGUUUAAAAUAUACAUGCAAAUAUUAAAAAAAAAAAAAAAAAAAAAAAGUCUGAAAAUAUUUUUAAUAGCAGCUCUCUUCUGAACCUGUAAAUCUGGCUAGGAACCCUCCUUUGUGU